GGAUUAGAUACCCUGGUAGUCCACGCCGUAAACGAUGAGUGCUAGUUGUUGGGGGGCUUGCCCUUCGGUGACGUAGCUAACGCGUUAAGCACUCCGCCUGGGGAGUACGGUCGCAAGAUUAAAACUCAAAGGAAUUGACGGGGGCCCGCACAAGCGGUGGAGCAUGUGGUUUAAUUCGACGCAACGCGAAGAACCUUACCAGCUCUUGACAUGCUAGGUUUCGGGAUCGAGAGAUCGAUCCUUUCAGUUCGGCUGGGCCUAGUACAGGUGCUGCAUGGCUGUCGUCAGCUCGUGCCG
This 297-nucleotide ribosomal RNA is filed under the name uncultured bacterium. RNAcentral describes it as "partial 16S ribosomal RNA". It matches the Rfam family "Bacterial small subunit ribosomal RNA", at positions 775 to 1067 of the family's 1533-position model. The record is from RNAcentral.